RNAcentral lists this ribosomal RNA (473 nucleotides) under uncultured organism. RNAcentral's name for it is "partial 16S ribosomal RNA". It matches the Rfam family "Bacterial small subunit ribosomal RNA", at positions 333 to 797 of the family's 1533-position model. The record is from RNAcentral.
ACACUCCUGCGGGAGGCAGCAGUGGGGAAUUUUGGACAAUGGGCGAAAGCCUGAUCCAGCAAUGCCGCGUGCAGGAUGAAGGCCUUCGGGUUGUAAACUGCUUUUGUACGGAACGAAAAAGCUCCUUCUAAUACAGGGGGCCCAUGACGGUACCGUAAGAAUAAGCAGCGGCUAACUACGUGCCAGCAGCCGCGGUAAUACGUAGGGUGCGAGCGUUAAUCGGAAUUACUGGGCGUAAAGCGUGCGCAGGCGGUUAUGUAAGACAGAUGUGAAAUCCCCGGGCUCAACCUGGGAACUGCAUUUGUGACUGCAUGGCUAGAGUACGGUAGAGGGGGAUGAAAUUCCGCGUGUAGCAGUGAAAUGCGUAGAUAUGCGGAGGAACACCGAUGGCGAAGGCAAUCCCCUGGACCUGUACUGACGCUCAUGCACGAAAGCGUGGGGAGCAAACAGGAUUAGAAACCCCAGUAGUCCCA